RNAcentral lists this small RNA (173 nucleotides) under Pseudorhodoplanes sinuspersici. Its description in RNAcentral is "caulobacter sRNA CC2171". It matches the Rfam family "caulobacter sRNA CC2171". The record is from Rfam by way of RNAcentral. Lineage: Bacteria; Pseudomonadati; Pseudomonadota; Alphaproteobacteria; Hyphomicrobiales.
UAACAACCGAAAGGAGGUGAUCCAGUGUCUCAUUGUCUAUCGCCGUUUGCGCGGACUCUUGUGAACUGGUCCCUCGGCUCGUUCGAGGGCUGCGCGGCUUAAUCUGCCGCCAGUGCCAGUCCGAGACCGGGCUGCGGUUUGACAAUGGAAGGGCUGUCCGCAAGGGCAGCCCU